UAGAACGCACAGGAUGCACCGUAGUUUACUACACCGUAUUCUGUGAGUUGCGAACGGGUGAGUAACGCGUAGGUAACCUGCCUGGUAGCGGGGGAUAACUAUUGGAAACGAUAGCUAAUACCGCAUAAGAACAUUUACUGCAUGGUAGAUGUUUAAAAGGUGCAAAUGCAUCACUACCAGAUGGACCUGCGUUGUAUUAGCUAGUAGGUGAGGUAACGGCUCACCUAGGCGACGAUACAUAGCCGACCUGAGAGGGUGAUCGGCCACACUGGGACUGAGACACGGCCCAGACUCCUACGGGAGGCAGCAGUAGGGAAUCUUCGGCAAUGGGGGGAACCCUGACCGAGCAACGCCGCGUGAGUGAAGAAGGUUUUCGGAUCGUAAAGCUCUGUUGUUAAGGAAGAACGAGUGUGAGAAUGGAAAGUUCAUACUGUGACGGUACUUAACCAGAAAGGGACGGCUAACUACGUGCCAGCAGCCGCGGUAAUACGUAGGUCCCGAGCGUUGUCCGGAUUUAUUGGGCGUAAAGCGAGCGCAGGCGGUUAGAUAAGUCUGAAGUUAAAGGCAGU
This 569-nucleotide ribosomal RNA is filed under the name uncultured Streptococcus sp. Its description in RNAcentral is "bacterial SSU rRNA". It matches the Rfam family "Bacterial small subunit ribosomal RNA", at positions 49 to 605 of the family's 1533-position model. Lineage: Bacteria; Bacillati; Bacillota; Bacilli; Lactobacillales; Streptococcaceae. The record is from RNAcentral.